UCACAAUAGACAGAAAAGGGUGGAAUGGU
Molecule: non-coding RNA, 29 nt
Filed under: Rattus norvegicus (Norway rat)
Lineage: Eukaryota; Metazoa; Chordata; Mammalia; Rodentia; Muridae
Source: RNAcentral